UCAUACGACCAUAGGAAGCUUGGACCACUGAAACUCGUUGGAUCUUCUUUAGUUAAACAGUUUACCGGUGGAUUAGUAGUUAGGCGGGUGACCACUGACGAAUCUCCACUGUCGUAUGUU
RNAcentral lists this ribosomal RNA (120 nucleotides) under Bipolaris maydis C5. Lineage: Eukaryota; Fungi; Ascomycota; Dothideomycetes; Pleosporales; Pleosporaceae. The record is from RNAcentral.